This is a long non-coding RNA of Lutra lutra (Eurasian river otter), 8304 nucleotides long. RefSeq lists it as uncharacterized. The record is from RefSeq and is a predicted model, not a curated record. The transcript has 3 exons. Lineage: Eukaryota; Metazoa; Chordata; Mammalia; Carnivora; Mustelidae.
AGGAGAGAAUUGGGGGGGGGGGGGGAGUCUGGGGGGGUGAAUAUCCUGGCUUCCUGCUGCUGUGUUCGAUUCUCAUGCUCUCCCCUGCCCCUCGCACCACCCUCCCCUCAAGCAGGCUCAAGAAUAAGCAUGGACGUGUGGGCAGCACCGGAGACCGCCCUCCACUCCCCAAACCGCAUGCCACCUCACCAGGGUCCGUAGCCAGCACUCCUCGCAGUGCACGUGCCAACACUGGAUGGACGUUAGGGGCAUCGAGUAGGAGUCCUAGGGAGGAGUGGGGUUAGAAAAGGGGUCACUCUGAGGCUGGCCCACCCUCUAAAGAGCUCAAAUCACAGUGCAAAGGCCCUUUCCAACCCCCAAAGGGCACUGAAGCCUGACCAGAGGCAUCCCAGGUUCCCUUUCUCUCACCAUACAGAUGAGGCAUUUGUAACGGUCCCCACGGGAUAGCUGCCGUUCAAGUUCCCUGACCCGAGCCUUCAGGGCCUCAAACGUGGUCACAGCUGAAUCUUCGGUGAUUCUGUAAAGAGGAUGGCUUGGUUGGGCAGGCAGCAGGCUGGCAUCUCUAAUCUGAACCUCCAGCCCACACCUCCCUUGAAUUCUAGAAGCAUAUAUAUAAAUGUCUCUCACAUGUCCCUGCCCCCCAUCUGCUGAAAGCCUCUAUCUGCAAACUCCUCUCUCUCGAAUUGAACUCUUCACCCUCCUUGUUCCUCCACCUCCAUCUUGGUGAAUUUCCAAACCAGAUACCUUGGAACCAUUCUCAAACCAUUCCUUCCCAGUCACCCUCGACACCUACAAUCUGUCAUCUAGUUUCUAGUAUCUCAGUAGUGUGUCCACUGCUACCUCUGGUCCAGGCCCUCAUGGUUUCUCCUACGAUUCCUCUGCUGACCUGAAUGGCCCCUCUGCCUCCAGAUCCUUCAUUCCAUUCUCUCAGCACCUAGAAUUUUACAGAUUUGACCAUUUCUACUUUAACAUUUCAAUGUUUCCCUCAGAAUACAGCUCUAUCAAACUCCUUGGAAGCUGAACAGGGACUCCUUGGCCUAGCCCCGGCCCAUAUCCCUCAGCACCCCACCGCACGUGAUGCUCCAUCCACACCAAACUGAAGCUUCCCACACCCAGCACCAUUUUUCACGCCCCUGGCCUCUGGCAGCACUUCCUGCUUCCUCUGGCCCACCGCACCUCCUGCCAGCUCCACCGUGGGUGGCUGGUCUCCCGUGCUCUCUGGCACCCUGCGGCGGACCGCACCACAGCAGUGCAACUGCAAAUGUCCCUGUCUCCUGGGCAAGAUGCAGUCUCCCAACGGCAGGCUGCUCACACCACCAGUACUGACUACGGACAUUAGCCCAUGGCGGGCACGGGAGUGUGAGUAAAUGUUUGUUGACCCAAAAGCCAGUCUCACCCCCAGAGUAAGAGGUGUGGGGACUGCACAAGUCCCACAGAAUCCAGGUCCUGGGCCACAGGCCCGCCCUACCUCAAGGGCUCCUUGUUGUUCCUUCCUGGGCACAUCAGAUGCCCUGAGAGCCCUCACCUGCUGUUCAAGCUCUGCCCAUGAAAGUCCCUGUAACUUCUGGAAGGCUCUUUGAGCUGCAGUACUGAACAGUGAAGAGCUAGGACUAGCUGAAGGAGUGGAGUGAUCCCUCCCACCCCUUCUGAAACAACUGAACAGAACCUAGAGGAGCUCACAGAAGAAGAAUGCUGCCUGGAGGAGCAGAAAAGAUGCUACUAGAGAUGGGCCUUAGGGAAUAAUAAUGAUGAUAACACAAAUAAAAGAGCCAAAAUUUAUUAAGUGCUUACUAAAUGCCAGCGAUUGUACUGAGGGAUUGAAAAUUAUUAUUUUAUUUACACCUCACAAAAACCCCACGAGGAGAUUGUAAUAUUCCCAUUUUAUAUAUGAAGAAACUAAAGCAGCAGAGGAACAUGAAAUAGCUUGCCUAUGGUUCACACAGAGUGGGGGAGCUGGGAUUCAAACCCCAGACUGUUGCUGUGAUCCACCAACCACUUUGUGACUAACAUUACAACACUGACAAUAUCCAGGAGGAGCAGGGUCUCCAGACCCAGGGACCAGGACCAACAAAGGCCAAGAGGUCCAUGUGGCCGUAAGGCUCACCUAUGGGUAAGUGCUAACGUGGGGAAAGCGGAAGAUCCUAUCAGGGGAGACUCUGGAGGCCACAAUCUGAAAGUGAAGCUGAUCUCACAGGCAACGGAAAGUUGCUGGGCCCACCAGAGGAGGGUGGUAAGAGGGACCAGUCUGAGGGGAAUCGCCAAGUGUGGCGCUGUGUGGGCAGAGGCGUUCUCCAAGGACGGCCUGUUCGGGCCGGCUUGGAACAGACAACUGGCGCAGAAAGCCAGAAAGCUACAGGUGGUACUGGCGUUAGGUGAUAUCGGGGGCAUGGGAGGACGGUGGUGACAUUCCCACCUGGGCAGUCUGGGCAGCAACAGACUUUGACCUCUAACCUUCCUCUCUUAGGGCACCAGCAGCAACAAAGAAGAGGAAGUCUUGGUGUUGUGUCCUUGUGUCAGGGAUGCCCUCAAUCCAUUACUCAAUGGGUCCACGGCUCUAUCCCUGCCUCUAUCCAUGGAAGCUGCGAAGGGAAUGACUCCGGCUCCUCUGACACUGGCUGAUGCUGCAAGUGUCCACUCAACUUUCCAGAUCUGGAAGCCUUCAUCAGCCCCCGCCCCUUACACACGCCAGCACGGCUCUUCCCCUGGCCUUCUGUCCAAUGCCACAUGUGCCAUUCUCAUCUGGACUGUUGGUGAAUAUCUGCCAAGAAGACAAGGUAGCUGUGCUCCCUUUCUAAGGACCAGGCUGGGCAUUUGCCUGGUCCUAUGAAGUUAUUUCAAAAAUUGGGACCCUGAGGCCUGGAGCUGGGGACAAAGGCCCAGAGCAGAGCACUCUCAAACUCUGUAUCAGAGGAAUUAGAGCUAGAAAGGCAAAAAGGAUGGGGCCAGGAGAGAAUGAAGCCAUCUCCCCCUUCAUCUCCAAAAGCUCUAUAGGCCACAUCUGACUGCAGAGCCCACCUUACUGUGGACUUGCUCGGCAAACACCUGGUUGUUAUCUCUGCUCUGGUACAAUACCUGGUUCUCCAGUCCCUGACCCAGGCUACUUGUGAGUUAUUCCUGACACCCUCUGGGGCACGGGAUAGAGAAUUUCCUGGAAGCCGCCAUGGUGUCCUGCUUCCCCUGGGUUGUGAAAAAGAUCUAGGGCGGGAACCCACGUUGUGUGUACCAGGAAGUCAUGGGGAACCCCCCAAUCUUGGUGGGGCCAGACCCAGUGGAGAUCUCUGCAUAGGACUCAUCCCAGAGAACCUUGCCUACUGGUGCCUGUGCUCGUACAGGUGGGACACAAGUCCCAACUUCCCCUAGCCUUGGGUGGGUAGUACCUUCAUGGAUGGCCACUGGCUCUGGCCCCCACCUCCCCCUCGGGCGCCAUCCCUGAUUAAUGAUCUUGUCUUUCUGAUUUAUGAGCAGCCCCUCCAGACAAGGGUGGGCGCCCCUUACGGCCCCGCCCGCCCCGCUCAGCUGGAGUAGGAGAGAAUUAUUAAAUAAACAUCCAUACGUCAUUCCGCCCCCCCCAGCUGGCUGCGCCGAACCCGUGCGGCCCACUCCGGCGCUGACACGGAGCAGCUGCGGUGAUUCAUGGGCAGCCAGGCCCCGAGCCGCGGCCCAUACAUCAUGCCAGCAGCACUCGCGGCCCGGCCGAGAUAAACUGAUCAACCACAACGGGCUGGAAUGAAUUUAUGACAACACAAAAUGGAGGGAAACAAAUGGGAGGUGACCCUGGGCCACCGACCCGGCCCUGCACUGGCCUGCAAUCCACUCUCCUGGCAGGAGGCAAGAUGGAACACCGGCCCUGGAAUGAAGAGGCUGCCUUUUAAGCCCAGGCAACCUAGCCUCCAGCAGAGCGAGGGGUGGGGUGCAGAGAGGUAAGCAGUGGCCAAGAGCAGCAACUCUAGGCAGCUAGAGCCAGACAGUGCCACUUCUUGGGGCCAGAACUGGCCUUGCUUGGGCUUCUGGAAAGGCGGUAAGAUGCCCAGCUGAUUUCAAGUCCUCGUGGCUCCUGGGGAUCCAGGCCGGGGCUGGCCAGUCUCAUGUGAAGUGCUAACGGAUCCCCUUUCCCUCUGCCAGAGAACCCAGGCCAAAAAUUCCUUACCAGAAGUGAUGAGACCCAAUGCUCCUGCCUAAAAUCCACUGCGAGCGCCACCCGGGACAAGAAAAAUGAAACCAAUUUAGCUCCCGAUUAAGAAACAGAAACUGGAGAUGAAUCAAGUGCGCCGGCUGGGCUGGGCGGCCAUACAUCACAUUCCCGGGUGGAGGCCGCCGCAGCGGGCAGGCAGGCAGGCCGACUGCUCCUCCCUCCGCCAGGACUCCCAGGGCAGUGGCCCAGCGAUCAAUUCACAAAGUCACGCUUAGCACCAGCUGGGCCCCACUGCUGUCGUGUGCCCAGGGCCGCAGGACUAAGCCAUGCUCUGGAGGGCCAAGAGUCGUGGCAGAAGGCCUUCCUGCUAGCAGAGAGACCCCCUCUCUCCCCUCCCUGAACUGCCACCCCAGGGGCCCCUCUCCUGGUCGGACACUCACUUCUCGAUGUCACUAUUCUUGCAGGUCUUCUGCAUGGCCUCCUGCUUGCUGCUCUCACCGUUGCUGGUAGAUGGCAUCUCUGCUGGGACAGAGGGGCAACUCAUAUUCUGGCCAGACUGGGCAGCACAGCCCCACCUUGUCCCACAGUGCUCCAAGGAUACUGCGGCUUCCCAUAUUCCAGAGUGUCAUCCCCAUCCACAUCCAGGUCAGCGUCGCUGUCCGGAUUCUCUUUGCCGCUGCACAUGACGAAGCCAGAGCCUGUGGGAAGCAAGACAUGAAUAGGACCAGGGGCCAACGAGACUAUACCAAGCGUGCCCCUUCCGUUGCCUCUAGGUAAGGCUUAAGUUGGGGCCAGAACAAACGCCUGCUUAUUCUGCAAGUCUGACCUAGCUCAGCCCAUGCCUCCUGCUAAGAACUCACAGUGCCUAUGCACACAGUUGCUCCAGAAAUACCCCAACAUUCUUUCAACCUUUACUGAGUUCAUCCUCAGUCUGGCCUGGCAUUGGAGACACAAGAGUUUCAAGAUUUGAUCUCCACCCGUGAGGUGCUGAGUGUGAAGACUUCCCCAGGUAUUUCUAUGUAGGUGUCCCUUCCUUGGUGUCCACCCAGACUUCUGUGCAAAUCCAAAGUCAUAUUUAACUACAUGUACUUCACGGUCCCUCAUCAAACUGCAAGCCCAGGUCCACAGCAGUGAUGGCUAAAAUGCUGACGGCGCUGUCCUGUCAGGUCCUGAGAGCCCUAUGUCCGAAAGGAGGCGGAGGCCUGAAGCCUCUCAGGAUACAACCUUCCCUGUCAGACCCCAACCCCAGCAGGGCAGUGACGACCUGCCAGGCAGGACAGAGAGCAUGGCAUAUCUUAACCGCCAAGGAAAAGGCCUGUCUCUGGUUUGUGACGCUGACCCCAUCCCCCCUGUGGAGACAGAUGUUGGGAACCUCUCCCUACCCCACAGGUGUUCAGAACAGGCUGCUACUGCCAAUUUCCCUCUUAUGCUGCCCCAGCCUCCUCCAACCUCUUUCCCAGCACAUUAAACUUUAUUUUCUUAAUGAAAUGUCACUUGCUGACUUCUGGCAGAAUCAUAAUAAAAAGAAACUGCCAUAAAGCCAUUUUAUGCCGACAGCGUCCCCCCACCCCCCCGCUUGGCACCCUCCCCCCACCCCCAGCUUCAAGAGGAGGGCUCCAUAGCCGUUUUAUGUUCUCAGCUGCUGGAACAUCCCAAGCCAGUACUCAGAGGCAAGAUGGCACACACAGCUCCUUUCCAAGCCUCUGGCUCCUGUUCCAUGUAGCUCCGGGGAUAUUAAGCAAGCUGCCGCUCCUGCUGCUGCUAUCCAGGGAAGGGACUCAGCUCCCAGGACCUCCAAGAUGACCUGGAGGACCCUUUAGUCACCAGGGGAGGCCCCUUGCUAUGACUCAACCCCAGUUAAAGUGGCGCAAUGUGCUGAGCUGCUGUCUCUAGGCAAACAAGGCUGCUGGUCAGCGAUGCUCAGCAGAAUGGGUUCUGGGAGGGGAGGCAGUGUGAAAAAUCCCUUCCCUCCAAACGAAUACUUAGCAACAGAGAGGAUUAAGUGCAAAAAUGAUAAGCAAGUCUAAAUUUUAUAAAAAUGACCUCUCCCAUAAACUCAUUUCUUCCCGGGUCAUCAAGGAGAAGAAAAAAAAAAAUCAGUGUUAAUUUAAUCAAUUGAUUAGGUGAUCGAUUGAGAAACUGGAGAUGCCCGUUUACUGGGGGCACUAACGUCCUGGAACCCGAAACCACAAAAAAGGAGCCAUCAAUUUCCUCACCUGCUGCUUCUAACAAAACCUGAGCCCAGGGAGAAAGGAAAGUCUUGGGGCCCUUCAGAGGCCAUGCUCUUGGGGAGGGGCGGGGGGGAGAGACAGGGGCAGCAGUUUCCGGAGAGUUUUACACUGGAAUUAGUUACAGAUGCAGUUACGGUGUCUUGUGUAAACGCCAUCGAUUGGGGAGCUGACAGUCUGGGGAGCUGCGAUGCGGGACAAUCAAUCGGCCUGCAGUGUCACCUGCCACCUCGCUGAACAGUUGACAAUGCAAUUAUCCAGUGUGGAGGCAGGGAGUUGGCGUGUGUCAAACGCACUUAGCCACUUUCCGGGCCUCCUCAAUAACGCGUUUCACUGCCUCACGUCAGGAGAGACGCAGAGAGACAGACGCCGUUUAAAACCAUUGAUACUUGCUCCUUCUGCCUGUACUCCCUCUAUCCCAGCUUAACAAUUGUGUUCCAAAAGGCGAUUAAAUCCCCGUCAGUUGCCACAGGGGACAGAAGGUGCCCUGCUCCCCUGCCACCUCCCCUCACCCCUCCCACCAAGCAACAGUUAGAACUAAAGGUGGUAGGAGCUAGAAAGCAGCAGCCCCAGCCCUCCCUGCCCCAAGACUGCCUCCAGCAGCUGGGGGCUCCAACAUCUGUCACUGACCGGACCAUGCAGCACGGCUACACCGGGGAUGCUUUUAGUUACAGGGGUCCCCUUCUUUUGGGAACUAACAUGCCAGAGCGGGCAGCAGCUAGGGGAAGGCCUAGUUCUCUGUGCCCUGGGACUCACGGUACCUCUCAGCUCCUGACCCAGGAUCCGGUGAUGUUUUAGCAAGCCAUAGGUCGUUAAAAGAUCGGUGCCAGAGCUGUCCUCUCUGUGAGAUCUCAUCCCAGGCUACUGGGAACCAGCCUAAAUCCAAGAGAGGAACUUGAAAAAGAUGGAGUCACCAGGCCAGGAUCUGGGGAGGGCAGAGACCUGCACAGCUGGGCCUCUAAGUACCGUCAUUUUCCCUCCCCUCCACCUGUUUGAUUCAAAGGGGCUCACUGCUGGAUUCUAGCGAAGCAUUUCUUGUCAGUGCUCAGACACAGCCACAGCACCCUCUAGUUCCUGUGCAGUCUCCUGGGAGAGGUUUCCAUCUUCCACACUCUUGUGCUUGCCCCCAUCACUGUUACCUUAUCUGAAACCAACCAUUCCCGUGUCUUCUCUCUAGCCUGUCCAUUCCAGACAUGAUGGGUUCCAGGCUCCCCAAAUCCAGCUGGGUGAACUUUCAAUGGCAACCAAUACAGGGGAAGGAUCAAAGCUCACCGUAAGUCUCUUUUUGAGGACCCAGGAGCUGGAGACAGGAAAUGAGGAAAGGUGUGGCUCACUCAUCACAUACCUCCCUUGGCUACAGAUAGGAGCAGGUUUGUCCCAAGGGGCUGUAUCAUUAGGUUCUCACUGGGGCCUGCUGCUCUAGCCCAGAAGCCCUUUGCUCUGCCCAUGGCUGGCAUGGUGCCCCAGAAGAGGAUCUUUUUCUAACUGCUAAGCUCUCUCAGGGGAAUGUUGGGGAAGCUCUAGGCUCCAUGCUACCCUUUAUGCAAUUCUAAUGCUGGGUGGGGGAAAGAGCAGUAGCAGACUAGCAACCCUAAGGUUCUGAGAGGACAUCAACAGCUCAGGCACACAGCCCAGGAUUUCUCUGAGAACUGGGAAGGCCACAGUAUUUCUUAGAUACUGAAAGUUUUAGGUCUUCCAACCUGUCUUGAAAUCUUUAUUUCCUUUAGCCUCUUAAAGAUCUAUUUCUAGCUGGACCUAUCUUGGUGCUUGCUGCCUGCUUACCUGUUCUGUCUUGUCCUUCAUUUUGUUCUAGAGUCCCAAUUCCAAGGACUCCUGGGUCCAAGCUACCUAGGCUUGACCUCGAUAGCCACAGAUCCAUCUUCAAGGCCUGUUCCCCUCAGCCAAGUGCCUCCACCAAAACUCUUGCUUGUUCCCUAGCUCCAC